This 261-nucleotide ribosomal RNA is filed under the name uncultured bacterium. RNAcentral's name for it is "partial 16S ribosomal RNA". It matches the Rfam family "Bacterial small subunit ribosomal RNA", at positions 793 to 1055 of the family's 1533-position model. The record is from RNAcentral.
GUCCACGCCGUAAACGGUGGGCACUAGGUGUGGGUCCUUAUCAACGGGAUCCGUGCCGUCGCUAACGCAUUAAGUGCCCCGCCUGGGGAGUACGGCCGCAAGGCUAAAACUCAAAGGAAUUGACGGGGCCCGCACAAGCAGCGGAGCAUGUUGCUUAAUUCGAGGCAACGCGAAGAACCUUACCUGGGUUUGACAUGUACGGAAAAGCCAUAGAGAUAUGGUGUCCUUCGGGGCCGUACACAGGUGGUGCAUGGCUGUCGU